RNAcentral lists this long non-coding RNA (2980 nucleotides) under Nicotiana benthamiana. RNAcentral's name for it is "long non-coding RNA (NBEN_LNC013436)". The record is from RNAcentral. Lineage: Eukaryota; Viridiplantae; Streptophyta; Magnoliopsida; Solanales; Solanaceae.
CGGAAGUAGAAAAUAGGCUUGUGUGGUUCCCUCUUUUCCAUUUUUAUCUGUACUUUGUAUUUUAUAGUUUCACAACAACAACCUAGUAAUCACACUUAGUGGGGUCUAGGGAGGGUAGUUUGUACGCAGACCUUACCCCUACCCUUGGGUAGAGAGGCUGUUUCUAAAUAGACCCCCGGCAUCCUUCCCUCCAAGAACUUCCCACCUUGCUCUUGGGAAGACUCGAACUCACAACCUCUCAGCUGGAAGUGGGGGUUGCUUACCAUCAGAGCAACCCCUCUUGUCUUGAUACUCACGGACCUGAGUGCAUUAAUAUGUUGUGUAUCAUAUUAUACAUCAGUUGACAGAUUUAGUGGUAAAGACUCAACAGCGAAAUUAACAUCACCAAAUAUUGGAUGAAAUCAACCAUCAUUUCUCGGUAAUAACAGCUCAUCCAUUGACACCAUUAUGAUGUAUAUCUCAGUAUAAUCACAGAGACGGAUUGCAGGAAAAAAAAUGAAAAAACAAGAACUAAAGAACUGUAGUCUAAUUUCACCUUUUGCAUAAGUUGCGACUAUGUCUGAACAUAGAAGAUUGUUUUUUGUGGCGCAAAAGAAAAGCAGACAAAUCCUCCAUUGAGUUGCACCCAUUCAAUAUGACUAACCAAUCCUUGAUGUACACAAAAAAAUUUAUGCACUGUUGGCAAAAUGUAAUUACAUUUGUAGGAUGAGCAUGCAUAAACCAACACUGUUGGCAAUAAUGAUUCAUGUAAUGCGCAAGCUGUUGGAAUUGCCAACUAAAACUCAGAUUAAAAGAUAAAACGUAAUGUACCCAAGGGUGUGACCUAGUGGUCAAUGCGCAAGUAUCUAAUGCGCAAGUUGUUGGAAUUGCCAACUAAAACUCAUAUUAAAUGAUAAUGUACCCAAGGGUGUGGCCUAGUGGCCAAUGCGCAAGUAUCCUGUGGAAUUAGGCGAGGUGCGCGCAAGCUGCCCGAGCACCACGGUUAUAAAAAGAAAAAGAAGAUAAAUGUAAUAAUCCAAACAAAAAUAGCAGAAAAUUUGCAGCAGAACCAUGACUGACAUAAUCUAUCAUUAAUUAGGAAAUGCGUUAAGUAAUAAAUAUUACUAGAUCCUAAAAGUAUGAGAUAUAACACCAUUUGUGAAAUAAUAACUCUAGCGUUUCAAUAAGCUAAGUGAAAAUUCUCACGUAUGCAAAGUGGGAUUAUACUGCGUUGUUAUUUUAUAGUCAAAGUGCUAUUCAAUUAGCGAAGAACCAAGUUUAUCAUGCAAAAACGAAGCACAUUGAUGUUCGGUAUCAUUAGUGGUGACUGCGAUCAAGUUUCAACAUUGUUGAACACUGAAGAUUGAAGAUGAAACACAACCAAAAUUUGUUACCGAGAGAAAAUUGAAGAUGUGGUAUUUCGCCAAGGUGGAGAUUUGUUGAAUAUGUCUUCAUCCCACAUCGGUGGGAGAUUCAUUUGGGGGAGAGUUUCUCCCUAUAAAAGGAGGCCUAAUGUUUAGGAUUUAAAUGCACCUCUCAUUUUCCUUCUCAUCUGUUUAAGGCAUUUGUAUCUUCUCUCUUUAGUAUUAUUUUACUUGUAUUUUAGAGUGAAAUAAAACGUUGGUUGUGUCCGAGGAAUAGGCAAAAUUGGCCGAACCUCGUAAAUUCUGGUGUUCCUUUUAUUGUUGCUUUAUUGUCUUAUUUAUUAUUUGGUGGUUACCAUAUUUUUUGGAAUAGUAGUUGUGACUCAUUCACACUAUAUACAUUUGGCUUCCGCAACAGUUUAUGCAAUGGACCAGGUAAAUCACAUGCUUAUCUAUGUGGUGAAUGCAGUUUUACUAAAGCAGUAUGGGAAAGGCUUAUGCAAUGGCUAUGAAUUCAUGUGGAUCCCAAGCAGUACUCUUUUACACAGAUGAUGGCAUGGGUAGUAAAACAAGCUAAGGGAAAAUCAUGUGCAGCUAGAGUAAUGAAAAUGGUAUAUGCAGAACAAAUCUAUGGGACAUAGAAGGAGAGAAACAAUAGAAUAUUUGAAGAGACAAACAUGACUGCAGAUCAAGUAGCAAGAGAAGUGGCAUGUGUUUGCAAUAUUAGAGCUCAAGGAGGAAUGAGGGCAAAACUGCAUCAGCUUAUGUUCUGAAAACAAUGUAGAAACUAACCAGUCAUUUGUAUAGUAUUCUUAUAUGUACUGCUCAUAGCGUAGGAUAGACCUAGACUAUAUGUAAAGAUUAAGUGAGUCGAGGACUCUACUGAUUUGUAAUGACCUCUUUAGUGAUUAAUGGAAAAUAUAAUUACAAAAAAAAAACUAGCUAUAAUCCUUUUUAAUUUUUUUUUCUUUUUUGAACCCCUUAGGGAAAAUCUUGCAUCCGCUUGUGGUCACAAAUGUUGUUAAACGUUCGCUUUGAUAAAACAUUAUUACUCCACUAUGCACGCAUCUUCUUUUGUGUUAGUCAAAAAUGGUCAUCACUUGAUGUUGAUGCUAUUAGGAGAGUUUUAUAAUGUCUUCGAAGGCUAGAUUCCGAUUUUUUUUCCCUCUCCUGGGUAUGCUCUGCCCUUUGCAUACGUGAGAAUUUUCACUUAGCUUAUUGAAACGCUAGAGUUAUUAUUUCACAAAUGGUGUUAUAUCUCAUACUUUUAGGAUCUAGUAAUAUUUAUUACUUAACGCAUUUACUAAGUAAUGCUAGAUUAUGUUAGUCAUGGUUCUGCUGCAACUUUUCUGCUAUUUUUGUUUGGAUUAUUACAUUUAUCUUCUUUUUCUUUUUAUAACCGUGGUGCUCGGGCAGCUUGCGCGCACCUCGCCUAAUUCCACAGGAUACUUGCGCAUUGGCCACUAGGCCACUCCCUUGGGUACAUUACGUUUUAUCAUUUAAUCCGAGUUUUAGUUGGCAAUUCCAGCAACUUGCGCAUUACAUGAAUUAUUAUUGCCCGCAGUGUUGGUUUAUGCAUGCUCAUCCUACAAAUGUAAUUACAUUUUGAUAAAAGGAAACUACAAAAUACAAAGUAC